Molecule: ribosomal RNA, 393 nt
Filed under: uncultured bacterium
Lineage: Bacteria
Description: bacterial SSU rRNA
Rfam family: Bacterial small subunit ribosomal RNA
Source: RNAcentral
GAUGAACGCUAGCGGCAGGCUUAAUACAUGCAAGUCGAGGGGUAACAUGGGGUAGCAAUACUCUGAUGACGACCGGCAAACGGGUGCGGAACACGUACGCAACUUUCCCAAAACUGGUGAAUAGCCCUCCGAAAGGAGGAUUAAUACACCGUAACAUAUAGAGGUGGCAUCGCCUUUAUAUUAUAGCUCCGGCGGUUUUGGAUGGGCGUGCGCCUGAUUAGGUAGUUGGUGUGGUAACGGCUCACCAAGCCUACGAUCAGUAACUGGUGUGAGAGCACGACCAGUCACACGGGCACUGAGACACGGGCCCGACUCCUACGGGAGGCAGCAGUGGGGAAUUUUGGACAAUGGGCGCAAGCCUGAUCCAGCCAUGCCGCGUGAGUGAAGAAGGCC